UUAAACGGUAGGGUAUUGGCCUACCGUGGCAAUGACGGGUAACGGGGAAUUAGGGUUCGAUUCCGGAGAGGGAGCCUGAGAAACGGCUACCACAUCUAAGGAAGGCAGCAGGCGCGCAAAUUACCCAAUCCUAAUACAGGGAGGUAGUGACAAGAAAUAACAAUACAGGACUUUUUUAGUUUUGUAAUUGGAAUGAGUUACGAAC
RNAcentral lists this ribosomal RNA (205 nucleotides) under Cryptosporidium suis. RNAcentral describes it as "partial 18S ribosomal RNA". It matches the Rfam family "Eukaryotic small subunit ribosomal RNA", at positions 321 to 526 of the family's 1831-position model. Lineage: Eukaryota; Apicomplexa; Conoidasida; Eucoccidiorida; Cryptosporidiidae. The record is from RNAcentral.